AAUCAAGCGUUUAAGGGCGUGUAGUGGAUGCCUUGGCACUGAAAGCCGAUGAAGGACGUGAUAUACUGCGAUAAGUUUCGGGGAGCUGUAUGUAAGCUUUGAUCCGAAAAUUUCCGAAUGGGGAAACCCACCACUUUAUGUGGUACUUUAAACUGAAUACAUAGGUUUAAAGAGACAACCUGGAGAACUGAAACAUCUAAGUAACCAGAGGAAAAGAAAUCAAUUGAGAUUCCGUUAGUAGUGGCGAGCGAACGCGGAGUAGGCCAGUAGUUUUGUUAGAAAAAUUUGAAUAGUUUGGAAAUGCUAACCAUAGAGGGUGAUAGUCCCGUAUGAGUAAUGUCUAACAAAAUUCUUGAGUAAAGCGGGACACGAGAAAUCCUGCUCGAAUAUAGGGGGACCACCCUCUAAGCCUAAAUACUCUUCAGUGACCGAUAGUGAACUAGUACCGUGAGGGAAAGGUGAAAAGAACCCCUAUUAGGGGAGUGAAAUAGAACCUGAAACUGCAUGCCUACAAUCAGUCCGAGCCCUUUUUAGGGUGAGGGCGUACCUUUUGUAUAAUGGGUCAGUGACUUAAUUUAUUAAGCAAGCUUAAGCCAUCUAGGUGUAGGCGCAGCGAAAGCAAGUCUUAAUAGGGCGAUUAGUUUAAUGAAUUAGACCCGAAAACGAAUGAGCUUACCAUGAGCAGGUUGAAAGUUGGGUAACACCAACCGGAGGACCGAACCAGUUGACGUUGAAAAGUCUUUGGAUGACUUGUGGUAAGGGGUGAAAGGCCAACCAAAUUCGUAGAUAGCUGGUUUUCCGCGAAAACUAUUUAGGUAGUGCGUCGAAUAAAUAGAUGUUUAGAGGUAGAGCACUAAAUGGGCUAGGGGGAAGAGAUUCUUACCAAACCUAAUAAAACUCCGAAUGCUAGACAUUGUUCUUCGGCAGACAGACUGUGGGUGCUAAGGUCCAUGGUCGAGAGGGAAAGAGCCCAGACCACCAGAUAAGGUCCCAAAAUCAUGAUUAAGUGUGAAAGGAUGUGGAAAUUCCUUAACAGCCGGGAGGUUGGCUUAGAAGCAGCCAUCCUUUAAAGAUAGCGUAACAGCUCACCGGUCUAAUAGAGUUUCUGCGCCGAAGAUGUAACGGGGCUAAAAUCAUGUACCGAAUCUGUGGCUUUGCAAAGUUUUCGAACUUUGUAAGGGGUAGCGGAACGUUCUGUAAGCCUGCGAAGGGAUACCCGUGAGGGAUCCUGGAGGUAUCAGAAGUGCGAAUGCUGACAUAAGUAACGAUAAACGAAGUGAAAAACUUCGUCGCCGAAAAUCUAAGGGUUUCUAUGCAAGGUUAAUCCGCGUAGAGUUAGUCGGCACCUAAGGCGAGGGCGAAAGCCGUAGUCGAUGGAAACAAGGUUAAUAUUCCUUGACCUGAUGGUAGUGACGGAUUUCGUAAGUUGUGAGUUCUUAAUGGAUUGAACUUGCCGCGAAGAGGUCCCAAGAAAUAGCUCCAUCAUGAAGACCGUACCCGAAACCGACACAGGUAGAUUAAUAGAGUAUAUUUAGGCGCUUGAGAGAAUGAUGUUGAA
RNAcentral lists this ribosomal RNA (1558 nucleotides) under Candidatus Pelagibacter sp. RNAcentral's name for it is "partial 23S ribosomal RNA". It matches the Rfam family "Bacterial large subunit ribosomal RNA", at positions 1 to 1708 of the family's 2925-position model. Lineage: Bacteria; Pseudomonadati; Pseudomonadota; Alphaproteobacteria; Candidatus Pelagibacterales; Candidatus Pelagibacteraceae. The record is from RNAcentral.